GCUAGAAUGGAAGGAACAGCAUCUGCCUUAUAAGCAGAGGGUCACUGGUUUGAACCCAGUAUCUCCCA
RNAcentral lists this transfer RNA (68 nucleotides) under Sphingobacteriaceae bacterium. Its description in RNAcentral is "tRNA-Ile". It matches the Rfam family "tRNA", at positions 10 to 71 of the family's 71-position model. From Rfam's summary of the family: Transfer RNA (tRNA) molecules are approximately 80 nucleotides in length. Their secondary structure includes four short double-helical elements and three loops (D, anti-codon, and T loops). Further hydrogen bonds mediate the characteristic L-shaped molecular structure. tRNAs have two regions of fundamental functional importance: the anti-codon, which is responsible for specific mRNA codon recognition, and the 3' end, to which the tRNAs corresponding amino acid is attached (by aminoacyl-tRNA synthetases). tRNAs cope with the degeneracy of the genetic code in two manners: having more than one tRNA (with a specific anti-codon) for a particular amino acid; and 'wobble' base-pairing, i.e. permitting non-standard base-pairing at the 3rd anti-codon position. Lineage: Bacteria; Pseudomonadati; Bacteroidota; Sphingobacteriia; Sphingobacteriales; Sphingobacteriaceae. The record is from RNAcentral.